This 301-nucleotide ribosomal RNA is filed under the name uncultured bacterium. RNAcentral's name for it is "partial 16S ribosomal RNA". It matches the Rfam family "Bacterial small subunit ribosomal RNA", at positions 509 to 807 of the family's 1533-position model. The record is from RNAcentral.
CAGCCGCCGCGGUAAGACGGAGGGUGCUAGCGUUGUUCGGAAUCACUGGGCGUAAAGGGCGCGUAGGCGGCCUGUUAAGUCGGAUGUGAAAGCCCGGGGCUCAACCCCGGAACUGCAUCCGAGACUGGCAGGCUUGAGACCGGGAGAGGAGGGUGGAAUAUCCAGUGUAGAGGUGAAAUUCGUAGAUAUUGGAUGGAACACCGGUGGCGAAAGCGGCUCUCUGGCCCGGAUCUGACGCUGAGGCGCGAAAGCGUGGGGAGCAAACAGGAUUAGAUACCCGAGUAGUCCCUGUCUCUUAUAC